UACGGAGGGUGCAAGCGUUGUCCGGAAUCACUGGGCGUAAAGGGCGCGUAGGCGGCUCAUGAAGGCUGUGGUGAAAGUCCGGGGCUCAACCUCGGAUCGGCCGUGGCGACUCGUGGGCUGGAGCACUGUAGAGGCGGGUGGAAUUCCGGGUGUAGCGGUGGAAUGCGUAGAGAUCCGGAAGAACACCAGUGGCGAAGGCGGCCCGCUGGGCAGUGGCUGACGCUGAGGCGCGACAGGCGUGGGGAGCA
RNAcentral lists this ribosomal RNA (248 nucleotides) under uncultured bacterium. Its description in RNAcentral is "partial 16S ribosomal RNA". It matches the Rfam family "Bacterial small subunit ribosomal RNA", at positions 524 to 770 of the family's 1533-position model. The record is from RNAcentral.